This 477-nucleotide ribosomal RNA is filed under the name uncultured bacterium. RNAcentral's name for it is "partial 16S ribosomal RNA". It matches the Rfam family "Bacterial small subunit ribosomal RNA", at positions 30 to 507 of the family's 1533-position model. The record is from RNAcentral.
AUUGAACGCUGGCGGCAUGCCUUACACAUGCAAGUCGAACGGUAACAGGUUAAGCUGCCGAGUGGCGAACGGGUGAGUAAUGUACCGGAACGUGCCCAGUCGUGGGGGAUAACUGCUCGAAAGAGCAGCUAAUACCGCAUACGACCUGAGGGUGAAAGCGGGGGAUCGCAAGACCUCGCGCGAUUGGAGCGGCCGAUAUCAGAUUAGGUAGUUGGUGAGGUAAAGGCUCACCAAGCCGACGAUCUGUAGCUGGUCUGAGAGGACGACCAGCCACACUGGGACUGAGACACGGCCCAGACUCCUACGGGAGGCAGCAGUGGGGAAUUUUGGACAAAGGGCGCAAGCCUGAUCCAGCCAUGCCGCGUGCGGGAAGAAGGCCUUCGGGUUGUAAACCGCUUUUGUCAGGGAAGAAAAGGUUCUGGCUAAUACCUGGGACUCAUGACGGUACCUGAAGAAUAAGCACCGGCUAACUACGUG